Molecule: ribosomal RNA, 443 nt
Filed under: uncultured bacterium
Lineage: Bacteria
Description: partial 16S ribosomal RNA
Rfam family: Bacterial small subunit ribosomal RNA
Source: RNAcentral
CCUACGGGGGGCAGCAGUGGGGAAUAUUGGGCAAUGGGCGCAAGCCUGACCCAGCAAAGCCGCGUGAAGGAAGAAUGCUUUCGGGUUGUAAACUUCUUUUUUCAGAGACGAAGCAAGUGACGGUACCUGACGAAUAAGCCACGGCUAACUACGUGCCAGCAGCCGCGGUAAUACGGAGGUGGCAAGCGUUAUCCGGAUUUACUGGGUUUAAGGGGCGUGUAGGCGGGGAAGUAAGUCAGAUGUGAAAACCACGGGCUCAACCUUUAGCCUGCAUUUGAAACUGUUUUUCUUGAGUGCUGGAGAGGCAAUCGGAAUUCCGGGUGUAGCGGUGAAAUGCGUAGAUAUACGGAGGAACACCAGUGGCGAAGGCGGAUUGCUGGACAGUAACUGACGCUGAGGCGCGAAAGCGUGGGGAGCAAACAGGAUUAGAUACCCCAGUAGUC